Molecule: unclassified non-coding RNA, 148 nt
Organism: Macaca fascicularis (crab-eating macaque)
Lineage: Eukaryota; Metazoa; Chordata; Mammalia; Primates; Cercopithecidae
Rfam family: Metazoan signal recognition particle RNA
About the family: The signal recognition particle (SRP) is a universally conserved ribonucleoprotein.
Source: Ensembl
GCCAGGCAUGGUAGUGCAUGCCUGUAAUCCCAGCUACUUGGGAGGCUGAGGCAGGAGAAUCGCUCGAACCCGGGAGGCGGAAGCGGCAGUGAGCUGAGAUUACGCCACUGCACUCCAGCCUUGGUGACAGAGUGAGACCCUGUCUCAG